RNAcentral lists this ribosomal RNA (494 nucleotides) under Pseudoalteromonas sp. Its description in RNAcentral is "partial 16S ribosomal RNA". It matches the Rfam family "Bacterial small subunit ribosomal RNA", at positions 42 to 534 of the family's 1533-position model. Lineage: Bacteria; Pseudomonadati; Pseudomonadota; Gammaproteobacteria; Alteromonadales; Pseudoalteromonadaceae. The record is from RNAcentral.
GCAGCCNUACAUGCAGUUCGAGCGGUAACAGAAAGUAGCUUGCUACUUUGCUGACGAGCGGCGGACGGGUGAGUAAUGCUUGGGAACAUGCCUUGAGGUGGGGGACAACAGUUGGAAACGACUGCUAAUACCGCAUAAUGUCUACGGACCAAAGGGGGCUUCNGCUCUCGCCUUUAGAUUGGCCCAAGUGGGAUUANCUAGUUGGUGAGGUAAUGGCUCACCAAGGCAACGAUCCCUAGCUGGUUUGAGAGGAUGAUCAGCCACACUGGAACUGAGACACGGUCCAGACUCCUACNGGAGGCAGCANUGGGGAAUAUUGCACAAUGGGCGCAAGCCUGAUGCAUCCAUGCCGCGUGUGUGAAGAANGCCUUCNGGUUGUAAAGCACUUUCAGUCANGAGGAAAGGUUAGUANUUAAUACCUGCUAGCUGUGACGUUACUGACANAAGAAGCACCGGCUAACUCCGUGCCAGCNGCCGCGGUAAUACGGAGGGUG